RNAcentral lists this long non-coding RNA (774 nucleotides) under Monodelphis domestica (gray short-tailed opossum). RNAcentral's name for it is "lncRNA (ENSMODG00000035031.2)". Lineage: Eukaryota; Metazoa; Chordata; Mammalia; Didelphimorphia; Didelphidae. The record is from RNAcentral.
ACAGUCAGCCAGCUGUUGGUCAUUUGUAACCUCUAUCAUAAUUAGGAAUAUUCACUUCUUCCAAUCAUUUCAGAAAAAGCUUGCUCUCUAACACCUUGCUAAUCCAAAAUAAGCAACAGCUGUGUCCCUAAACCCUAACCAUGAUCUACAUUGCUUUUUUGCCUUCCUGGUGCAGACCACACUGCAGUAGGCCUAGCAUGGCACAUCAAUGUACUUAGCAACUGAUUGUUGACUGAUUAUCAAGUAACUGAUUUCCUGACUCAUGAGCCAUGUCCUGUGCAAGUUUUGAGGGUUGAACCAAAAUAGUUAUUAACAAGACUGAUGGAGGAAGGGGGAACAGCAACCCAGAAUAUUUGGAGACCAGGAAACAGCUGGUGAAACAGUGAACAAGAUGAAGUGGCUCAAAUCUCUAGAAGGAUGUCUGGCUCCCUCAAGACUGUCCCCUGUUUCUCAGGGAUGAGCCUGAUGAGAAUAGAGGCGAGUCAAGGCCAGUACUGCUGCCACUGGGCUGAUGAAGAAACUGAGGUCCAGAGAAGUGCCCAAGGUCAGCUCAUAGCAAAGAGGACCAUGACUUAGAAUUGAUUUUCCUAAUCUGACACCAGAGUUGUCUAUCUGGUGUAAAAGUGCUCCAGGACUCCAAGGACAGCCUAUUCCUGUCUCUACACUGGUCCUCACAUUUGGGAGAAGCAGAAUGACUCUCCUUUGUUUUUUUUUGUUUUUUGUUGUUGUUGAGAAAAAAAUAAAAGAAAACAAAUAAUGUUAUGAAUUUUGCCU